This 2929-nucleotide ribosomal RNA is filed under the name Escherichia coli. RNAcentral describes it as "23S ribosomal RNA". It matches the Rfam family "Bacterial large subunit ribosomal RNA". Lineage: Bacteria; Pseudomonadati; Pseudomonadota; Gammaproteobacteria; Enterobacterales; Enterobacteriaceae. The record is from RNAcentral.
GGGUUGUGAGGUUAAGCGACUAAGCGUACACGGUGGAUGCCCUGGCAGUCAGAGGCGAUGAAGGACGUGCUAAUCUGCGAUAAGCGUCGGUAAGGUGAUAUGAACCGUUAUAACCGGCGAUUUCCGAAUGGGGAAACCCAGUGUGAUUCGUCACACUAUCAUUAACUGAAUCCAUAGGUUAAUGAGGCGAACCGGGGGAACUGAAACAUCUAAGUACCCCGAGGAAAAGAAAUCAACCGAGAUUCCCCCAGUAGCGGCGAGCGAACGGGGAGCAGCCCAGAGCCUGAAUCAGUGUGUGUGUUAGUGGAAGCGUCUGGAAAGGCGCGCGAUACAGGGUGACAGCCCCGUACACAAAAAUGCACAUGCUGUGAGCUCGAUGAGUAGGGCGGGACACGUGGUAUCCUGUCUGAAUAUGGGGGGACCAUCCUCCAAGGCUAAAUACUCCUGACUGACCGAUAGUGAACCAGUACCGUGAGGGAAAGGCGAAAAGAACCCCGGCGAGGGGAGUGAAAAAGAACCUGAAACCGUGUACGUACAAGCAGUGGGAGCACGCUUAGGCGUGUGACUGCGUACCUUUUGUAUAAUGGGUCAGCGACUUAUAUUCUGUAGCAAGGUUAACCGAAUAGGGGAGCCGAAGGGAAACCGAGUCUUAACUGGGCGUUAAGUUGCAGGGUAUAGACCCGAAACCCGGUGAUCUAGCCAUGGGCAGGUUGAAGGUUGGGUAACACUAACUGGAGGACCGAACCGACUAAUGUUGAAAAAUUAGCGGAUGACUUGUGGCUGGGGGUGAAAGGCCAAUCAAACCGGGAGAUAGCUGGUUCUCCCCGAAAGCUAUUUAGGUAGCGCCUCGUGAAUUCAUCUCCGGGGGUAGAGCACUGUUUCGGCAAGGGGGUCAUCCCGACUUACCAACCCGAUGCAAACUGCGAAUACCGGAGAAUGUUAUCACGGGAGACACACGGCGGGUGCUAACGUCCGUCGUGAAGAGGGAAACAACCCAGACCGCCAGCUAAGGUCCCAAAGUCAUGGUUAAGUGGGAAACGAUGUGGGAAGGCCCAGACAGCCAGGAUGUUGGCUUAGAAGCAGCCAUCAUUUAAAGAAAGCGUAAUAGCUCACUGGUCGAGUCGGCCUGCGCGGAAGAUGUAACGGGGCUAAACCAUGCACCGAAGCUGCGGCAGCGACACUAUGUGUUGUUGGGUAGGGGAGCGUUCUGUAAGCCUGCGAAGGUGUGCUGUGAGGCAUGCUGGAGGUAUCAGAAGUGCGAAUGCUGACAUAAGUAACGAUAAAGCGGGUGAAAAGCCCGCUCGCCGGAAGACCAAGGGUUCCUGUCCAACGUUAAUCGGGGCAGGGUGAGUCGACCCCUAAGGCGAGGCCGAAAGGCGUAGUCGAUGGGAAACAGGUUAAUAUUCCUGUACUUGGUGUUACUGCGAAGGGGGGACGGAGAAGGCUAUGUUGGCCGGGCGACGGUUGUCCCGGUUUAAGCGUGUAGGCUGGUUUUCCAGGCAAAUCCGGAAAAUCAAGGCUGAGGCGUGAUGACGAGGCACUACGGUGCUGAAGCAACAAAUGCCCUGCUUCCAGGAAAAGCCUCUAAGCAUCAGGUAACAUCAAAUCGUACCCCAAACCGACACAGGUGGUCAGGUAGAGAAUACCAAGGCGCUUGAGAGAACUCGGGUGAAGGAACUAGGCAAAAUGGUGCCGUAACUUCGGGAGAAGGCACGCUGAUAUGUAGGUGAAGCGACUUGCUCGUGGAGCUGAAAUCAGUCGAAGAUACCAGCUGGCUGCAACUGUUUAUUAAAAACACAGCACUGUGCAAACACGAAAGUGGACGUAUACGGUGUGACGCCUGCCCGGUGCCGGAAGGUUAAUUGAUGGGGUCAGCGCAAGCGAAGCUCUUGAUCGAAGCCCCGGUAAACGGCGGCCGUAACUAUAACGGUCCUAAGGUAGCGAAAUUCCUUGUCGGGUAAGUUCCGACCUGCACGAAUGGCGUAAUGAUGGCCAGGCUGUCUCCACCCGAGACUCAGUGAAAUUGAACUCGCUGUGAAGAUGCAGUGUACCCGCGGCAAGACGGAAAGACCCCGUGAACCUUUACUAUAGCUUGACACUGAACAUUGAGCCUUGAUGUGUAGGAUAGGUGGGAGGCUUUGAAGUGUGGACGCCAGUCUGCAUGGAGCCGACCUUGAAAUACCACCCUUUAAUGUUUGAUGUUCUAACGUUGACCCGUAAUCCGGGUUGCGGACAGUGUCUGGUGGGUAGUUUGACUGGGGCGGUCUCCUCCUAAAGAGUAACGGAGGAGCACGAAGGUUGGCUAAUCCUGGUCGGACAUCAGGAGGUUAGUGCAAUGGCAUAAGCCAGCUUGACUGCGAGCGUGACGGCGCGAGCAGGUGCGAAAGCAGGUCAUAGUGAUCCGGUGGUUCUGAAUGGAAGGGCCAUCGCUCAACGGAUAAAAGGUACUCCGGGGAUAACAGGCUGAUACCGCCCAAGAGUUCAUAUCGACGGCGGUGUUUGGCACCUCGAUGUCGGCUCAUCACAUCCUGGGGCUGAAGUAGGUCCCAAGGGUAUGGCUGUUCGCCAUUUAAAGUGGUACGCGAGCUGGGUUUAGAACGUCGUGAGACAGUUCGGUCCCUAUCUGCCGUGGGCGCUGGAGAACUGAGGGGGGCUGCUCCUAGUACGAGAGGACCGGAGUGGACGCAUCACUGGUGUUCGGGUUGUCAUGCCAAUGGCACUGCCCGGUAGCUAAAUGCGGAAGAGAUAAGUGCUGAAAGCAUCUAAGCACGAAACUUGCCCCGAGAUGAGUUCUCCCUGACUCCUUGAGAGUCCUGAAGGAACGUUGAAGACGACGACGUUGAUAGGCCGGGUGUGUAAGCGCAGCGAUGCGUUGAGCUAACCGGUACUAAUGAACCGUGAGGCUUAACCUUACAACGCCGAAGCUGUU